Molecule: ribosomal RNA, 492 nt
Filed under: uncultured bacterium
Lineage: Bacteria
Description: partial 16S ribosomal RNA
Rfam family: Bacterial small subunit ribosomal RNA
Source: RNAcentral
AGUGAACGCUGGCGGUAGGCCUAACACAUGCAAGUCGAACGGCAGCACAGUAAGAGCUUGCUCUUACGGGUGGCGAGUGGCGGACGGGUGAGGAAUACAUCGGAAUCUACUUUUUCGUGGGGGACAACGUAGGGAAACUUACGCUAAUACCGCAUACGACCUACGGGUGAAAGCAGGGGAUCUUCGGACCUUGCGCGAUUGAAUGAGCCGAUGUCGGAUUAGCUAGUUGGCGGGGUAAAGGCCCACCAAGGCGACGAUCCGUAGCCGGUCUGAGAGGAUGAUCAGCCACACUGGAACUGAGACACGGUCCAGACUCCUACGGGAGGCAGCAGUGGGGAAUAUUGGACAAUGGGCGCAAGCCUGAUCCAGCCAUACCGCGUGGGUGAAGAAGGCCUUCGGGUUGUAAAGCCCUUUUGUUGGGAAAGAAAAGCAGCAGGCUAAUACCCCGCUGUUCUGACGGUACCCAAAGAAUAAGCACCGGCUAACUUCGUG